RNAcentral lists this non-coding RNA (55 nucleotides) under unclassified sequences. RNAcentral's name for it is "L31-Actinobacteria ribosomal protein leader". It matches the Rfam family "L31-Actinobacteria ribosomal protein leader". The record is from RNAcentral.
CCGGCUCCGGUUCACGCCGCUCGACAUGGCGACAUGUCGAGGCGACCCGGCGGCC